UCUAGUCUUAUCGGUGGAUCACUCGGCUCGU
RNAcentral lists this ribosomal RNA (31 nucleotides) under Heterodera glycines (soybean cyst nematode). Its description in RNAcentral is "partial 5.8S ribosomal RNA". The record is from RNAcentral. Lineage: Eukaryota; Metazoa; Nematoda; Chromadorea; Rhabditida; Heteroderidae. RNAcentral also lists the same sequence under 1 other name.